AGAGUUUGAUCAUGGCUCAGAUUGAACGCUGGCGGCAGGCCUAACACAUGCAAGUCGAACGGUAACAGAAAGCAGCUUGCUGCUUUGCUGACGAGUGGCGGACGGGUGAGUAAUGUCUGGGAAACUGCCUGAUGGAGGGGGAUAACUACUGGAAACGGUAGCUAAUACCGCAUAACGUCGCAAGACCAAAGAGGGGGACCUUCGGGCCUCUUGCCAUCGGAUGUGCCCAGAUGGGAUUAGCUAGUAGGUGGGGUAAAGGCUCACCUAGGCGACGAUCCCUAGCUGGUCUGAGAGGAUGACCAGCCACACUGGAACUGAGACACGGUCCAGACUCCUACGGGAGGCAGCAGUGGGGAAUAUUGCACAAUGGGCGCAAGCCUGAUGCAGCCAUGCCGCGUGUAUGAAGAAGGCCUUCGGGUUGUAAAGUACUUUCAGCGGGGAGGAAGGGAGUAAAGUUAAUACCUUUGCUCAUUGACGUUACCCGCAGAAGAAGCACCGGCUAACUCCGUGCCAGCAGCCGCGGUAAUACGGAGGGUGCAAGCGUUAAUCGGAAUUACUGGGCGUAAAGCGCACGCAGGCGGUUUGUUAAGUCAGAUGUGAAAUCCCCGGGCUCAACCUGGGAACUGCAUCUGAUACUGGCAAGCUUGAGUCUCGUAGAGGGGGGUAGAAUUCCAGGUGUAGCGGUGAAAUGCGUAGAGAUCUGGAGGAAUACCGGUGGCGAAGGCGGCCCCCUGGACGAAGACUGACGCUCAGGUGCGAAAGCGUGGGGAGCAACAGGAUUAGAUACCCUGGUACUCCAC
This 800-nucleotide ribosomal RNA is filed under the name uncultured bacterium. Its description in RNAcentral is "bacterial SSU rRNA". It matches the Rfam family "Bacterial small subunit ribosomal RNA", at positions 8 to 798 of the family's 1533-position model. The record is from RNAcentral.